RNAcentral lists this transfer RNA (68 nucleotides) under Actinobacteria bacterium 13_1_40CM_4_65_12. RNAcentral describes it as "tRNA-Lys". It matches the Rfam family "tRNA". Rfam says of the family: Transfer RNA (tRNA) molecules are approximately 80 nucleotides in length. Their secondary structure includes four short double-helical elements and three loops (D, anti-codon, and T loops). Further hydrogen bonds mediate the characteristic L-shaped molecular structure. tRNAs have two regions of fundamental functional importance: the anti-codon, which is responsible for specific mRNA codon recognition, and the 3' end, to which the tRNAs corresponding amino acid is attached (by aminoacyl-tRNA synthetases). tRNAs cope with the degeneracy of the genetic code in two manners: having more than one tRNA (with a specific anti-codon) for a particular amino acid; and 'wobble' base-pairing, i.e. permitting non-standard base-pairing at the 3rd anti-codon position. The record is from RNAcentral. Lineage: Bacteria; Bacillati; Actinomycetota.
UCGCGUAGCUCAACUGGCAGAGCAGGGGACUCUUAAUCCCAAGGUUCAGGGUUCGACUCCCUGCGCGA